Bubalus bubalis (water buffalo) is the source of this 1975-nucleotide long non-coding RNA. RefSeq lists it as uncharacterized. The transcript has 3 exons. Lineage: Eukaryota; Metazoa; Chordata; Mammalia; Artiodactyla; Bovidae. The record is from RefSeq and is a predicted model, not a curated record.
UAAUGCAUCUUAGAGAAUGCUCCACGUAGGUUCAUAGGAGCUGCCUCAUUCAUUUUAAAGGCAGUAUAAUAUUCAGUUGUAUGGAUUGUAUCAUAAUUUAUUUAACCAGUCUGAUGUUGAAGGAUAUUUAGUUUGUUUCCAGUCUUUUGAAUUUUUCACAAUGCCUCAAUGAAUAUUCGUAUACAUAUGUCAUUUCAUACAUGGGCAAGCAUACCAGUAGGAUGAUCUUCUGGAAUUGCAAUUGCUAGAUUAAAGACUACACAUUUUAAAUAUUAUGGUUUAUUGCCUCUAUAAAGGUCACAUGCAUUGCAAGCGCAUAGAAAGAGAAUGUCAGUUUCUUCACAUGCAUGCCAACAAUCUGUUAGUAAGCUUUGUCAAGUUGGCCAACCUGAUAGGUAAAAAUGAUAUCCUAUCAAAUCGUUUUGUAUGUUUAAAAUCCACUUUGCUCCAGUUACUGUUAACUAUUUUAUCUUGUCCAUGUUUUCCUAUUGGACUGCUGAUCUUAUUGAUUUAUAGAAGCUCUUUAUAUAUUAAGGGAAUUAAACUUUUAUCUGGGAUAUAUGUUGCACAUGUUUCCCUCAGUUAUUUUUCUCAUGACUCUUUUUCAUAAAGAAAACUUAUUUUUUGUUGGUAUACUCAGUCUUUUCUAUCAUAGUAUCUGGGUUUGUAUCACACUUUAAAAAUGUCUUUCCCACUCCAAGAAUAAAUUUUACUUUAUACACUUUAACCUUUUUUUUCAUCAGUAAUUUAUUUUGGUGUACGGAGUAUGACUGAGAUUAAACUUCCUUUUUUCCUGUUAGAGAUGCAGAUUAUCCCAACAUUGUUUAUUGAAUACUACAUCCUUUGUUUUACUGACUUGAAAUGUCGUACUGACCAUGUUUGAUAUUUUCCCUUGUAUUUGCGUAUGUUCUGGGAUCUGAAAUCUGUUGCAUCGAUAGGUUCUCUAAAGGUAAAAUGUAGACUGAAGGAGGAGUGGUCAGGGAAGGUCUAUUUGAGAAGGUGAUGCUUCAGCUCAGGCUGGCAAGGCCUUUCAGAUGGAGAGAAUUGCAGCAUGUGCAAAGGUGAAGACUUGGUUGCAUUAGAGGAACUGAAAGCCUGGUGCGCUGGCCCCUAAGUCAGGGAGCAAGUGGUACGAGAUGAGGCUGGAGAGAUGGGGAGGGGCUUGAUUAGUCCCCGUGGGCCAUGUUGAAGGGUUUGCAUUUAUUCCACACAAUCAGGAGCAGUUGAAGGGUGUUAAGCAGAGGAGAGACACAGUCCAUUUUACAUAGUUUUUUGUGGGGGGCGCUGUGCUGGGUCUUUAUUGCUGCAUGGACUUUUCUCUAGUUGCAGUGAGCGGAGGCUACUCUCUAGUUGUGGUGCUUGGGCUUCUUGCGGUGGCUUCUCUUAUUGUGGACCAUGGACUCCAGGGUGCGAGGGCUUCAGUAGUUGUAGCACGUGGGCUCAGUAGUCGCAGCUUCUGGGCUCUAGAGUGUGGGCUCAGGAAUUGAGACUCACAGACUCAUUGCCUCACAGCACAUGAAUCUUGCCAGACCAGGGCUGGAACCCAUGUGCCUUACGCUGGCAGGUGAAUACCUUACCACUGAGCCAGCAGGAAAGCCGCUACAUAGUCAUUUUAGAGGGAAGUCCGGGAUUCCGUGGCAUCCCCAGUGGGUGUAUCUGAGGAAAAGCUAGGCCCUGCUCCAGAUUUCCAGGGUGGUUGAGAGUCAUAGCCCAGGUCACAGAGAUUGCUCAUAUCAUGCUUAGUGAUGGACGGCAUUAACCACAACUAGCCCUGCUCCUUCCGCUCCGUGCCUGCCUCCUGUUCUGCUGACACCUCCUCCUGUUGUCUCCCUGAGGCCUGUGGAUGGUCACGGUUGCCCUGUAUGUGCAGCACCAGCUCUGGUGAAGGACCAAACCCCCAACUAGAGCCAGUGAGGGGCAAUGAGAUUUGGGGGGAUUUCUGAGAAAGAGGCUCCCCCCGUCCAUUGUGAAGUUG